GGAAUAUUCCACAAUGGGGGGAACCCUGAUGGAGCGACGCCGCGUGAGUGAAGAAGGGCUUCGGCUCGUAAAGCUCUUUUCUUGAGGACGAAUGGUCUAUUGGAUAGGCAGAGACGGUACUUGGGGAAUAAGCCACGGCUAACUACGUGCCAGCAGCCGCGGUAAUACGUAGGUGGCAAGCGUUGUCCGGAAUUAUUGGGCGUAAAGGGAGCGCAGGCGGGGCGGUAAGUCCAAAUUAAAAGUGCAGUAGUAAUGACUGUGAUGGUUUGGAAACUAUCGUUCUUGAGAGCAGGAGAGGCAAGCGGAAUUCCCAGUGUAGCGGUGAAAUGCGUAGAUAUUGGGAGGAACACCAGUGGCGAAGGCGGCUUGCUGGACUGAGUCUGACGCUGAGGCUCGAAAGCCAGGGUAGCGAACG
Molecule: ribosomal RNA, 415 nt
Filed under: uncultured bacterium
Lineage: Bacteria
Description: bacterial SSU rRNA
Rfam family: Bacterial small subunit ribosomal RNA
Source: RNAcentral